CAGUCGCCGCGGGAAUACGUAGGUCCCGAGCGUUGUCCGGAUUUAUUGGGCGUAAAGCGAGCGCAGGCGGUUAGAUAAGUCUGAAGUUAAAGGCUGUGGCUUAACCAUAGUACGCUUUGGAAACUGUUUAACUUGAGUGCAGAAGGGGAGAGUGGAAUUCCAUGUGUAGCGGUGGAAUGCGUAGAUAUAUGGAGGAACACCGGUGGCGAAAGCGGCCCUCUGGCUUGUAACUGACGCUGAGGCUCGAAAGCGUGGGGAGCAAACAGGAUUAGAUACCCGCGUAGUCCCUGUCUCUUAUACA
RNAcentral lists this ribosomal RNA (301 nucleotides) under uncultured bacterium. RNAcentral describes it as "partial 16S ribosomal RNA". It matches the Rfam family "Bacterial small subunit ribosomal RNA", at positions 509 to 808 of the family's 1533-position model. The record is from RNAcentral.